This 373-nucleotide ribosomal RNA is filed under the name uncultured Bacteroidota bacterium. RNAcentral describes it as "bacterial SSU rRNA". It matches the Rfam family "Bacterial small subunit ribosomal RNA", at positions 521 to 896 of the family's 1533-position model. The record is from RNAcentral. Lineage: Bacteria; Pseudomonadati; Bacteroidota.
UAAUACGGAGGGUCCAAGCGUUAUCCGGAUUUAUUGGGUUUAAAGGGUCCGUAGGCGGGUUAAUAAGUCAGUGGUGAAAUCCUACAGCUCAACUGUAGAACUGCCAUUGAAACUGUUAACCUUGAAUAUAAUUGAAGUAGGCGGAAUGUGUCAUGUAGCGGUGAAAUGCUUAGAUAUGCCACAGAACACCGAUUGCGAAGGCAGCUUAUUAAGUUAUUAUUGACGCUGAGGGACGAAAGCGUGGGUAGCGAACAGGAUUAGAUACCCUGGUAGUCCACGCCGUAAACGAUGUAUACUCGUUGCUAGCGAUACACAGUUAGUGACCAAGCGAAAGUAUUAAGUAUACCACCUGGGGAGUACGAUCGCAAGAUUG